RNAcentral lists this ribosomal RNA (478 nucleotides) under uncultured bacterium. RNAcentral describes it as "partial 16S ribosomal RNA". It matches the Rfam family "Bacterial small subunit ribosomal RNA", at positions 28 to 523 of the family's 1533-position model. The record is from RNAcentral.
GACGAACGCUGGCGGCGUGCUUAACACAUGCGAGUCGAACGGUAAGGCCCUUCGGGGUACACGAGUGGCGAACGGGUGAGUAACACGUGGGUGAUCUGCCCUGCACUUCGGGAUAAGCCUGGGAAACUGGGUCUAAUACCGGAUAGGACCACUGCCUGCAUGGGUGGUGGUGGAAAGCUUUUGCGGUGUGGGAUGGGCCCGCGGCCUAUCAGCUUGUUGGUGGGGUGAUGGCCUACCAAGGCGACGACGGGUAGCCGGCCUGAGAGGGUGACCGGCCACACGGGGACUGGGAUACGGCCCAGACUCCUACGGGAGGCAGCAGUGGGGAAUAUUGCACAAUGGGCGCAAGCCUGAUGCAGCGACGCCGCGUGAGGGAUGACGGCCUUCGGGUUGUAAACCUCUUUCAGCACCGACGAAGCGCAAGUGACGGUAGGUGCAGAAGAAGGACCGGCCAACUACGUGCCAGCAGCAGCCGCGG